Long non-coding RNA from Trichomycterus rosablanca, 140 nucleotides. RefSeq lists it as uncharacterized. Lineage: Eukaryota; Metazoa; Chordata; Actinopteri; Siluriformes; Trichomycteridae. The record is from RefSeq and is a predicted model, not a curated record. The transcript is spliced from 3 exons.
CCUAAGCCAGAUGACCUAUUAUCCCAAAAGAAGUCUAAACUCCAUAAGAAACUAAAAGGCAAAGGAUCUCCACUGAAUCCAUAUUCAGAUGAUAGAUCUGUUGGGCCUGAAGAGAUUCCCAGAAAAUCCUUAUUUUCUAA